CCNGCCAUGCCGCGUGUAGGAAGACUGCCCUAUGGGUUGUAAACUACUUUUAUAUGGGAAGAAUAAGGUCUACGUGUAGACUGAUGACGGUACCAUAAGAAUAAGCACCGGCUAACUCCGUGCCAGCAGCCGCGGUAAUACGGAGGGUGCAAGCGUUAUCCGGAAUCAUUGGGUUUAAAGGGUCCGUAGGCGGGCAUAUAAGUCAGUGGUGAAAGUCUGUGGCUCAACCAUAGAAUUGCCAUUGAUACUGUAUGUCUUGAAUUAUUGUGAAGUGGUUAGAAUAUGUAGUGUAGCGGUGAAAUGCUUAGAGAUUACAUAGAAUACCGAUUGCGAAGGCAGAUCACUAACAAUAUAUUGACGCUGAUGGACGAAAGCGUAGGUAGCGAACAGGAUUAGANA
This 399-nucleotide ribosomal RNA is filed under the name Dokdonia sp. Asnod3H11. RNAcentral describes it as "bacterial SSU rRNA". It matches the Rfam family "Bacterial small subunit ribosomal RNA", at positions 388 to 784 of the family's 1533-position model. The record is from RNAcentral. Lineage: Bacteria; Pseudomonadati; Bacteroidota; Flavobacteriia; Flavobacteriales; Flavobacteriaceae.